AGAGUAAGUCACAGACUUCUGAACAAUACUGGUGAUUCAGAGGCAAGUGUCAGGGAACCACAAAACUGUGUAAAUGAUAACAUAGCUGGUAAGUGUUUCAAGAAUGAUUCUCAUAGUUGAUAAAAAAUAUAAACACACUUAAAAUUUAGUUGUUACUUAACAAAUGUGUAAAAAUUAAAAUACAUUCCUCAGACUUAUCAUCACUAAGAGCUUGGCAUUGUGUGAUUUCAUAUGGAAUGACCUAAUAUUCAUAGCUAAAAUACACAUAUAAAGCAAAUGUUGGCUCAAAAGAUGAUGGGAGGAACAUGUUUCAUAUUACAUUAGAAAAACUCUUCCAGAGUUCAGGUGUUGCUAUAGAAAUUUUGUAUAUGUUGACAAAGAAAUUCCUGUAUGGGGAUCCACACAAUGAAGGCUGCCCCAGUGGCCCCACCUACAUCAUGGAUCUAAACUUAAAUCAACCUGCACUUAGGGGAAAUGCCUUACUGAUUAGGAAAACUAACAUACACCAACCACAAUCCUCCGACUCAGCUUUAACUAGUUUAUCUACUCUAGGAAAAAGGACUUUCUAACCUUACCAGGAAAUCCCUAAACUUCUAGUCAGUCAUGCUCUGUUUCCACAUUGCUGGUUUGAAUGUGAAACUUGCUCUUGCCCAAAAUCCUUUUGGAAAAGUUCUCCAUUGUUUAUGAGGCCUUCAAUCCAUGGAUUGAUUUCUUCCCUUAAAUAAAGGGCAACAAACUCAUUGCUAAAUGUUAUUAUUUUUGUUAUUUGACAGUGUGUGAAGAAUUCAUUAGAAACAAUUCUUCAAGAUUAGAUAAAGUGCCAUUUUCCCUGCCCCCAAAAGAAAUAUACAUUGCAAAUAGACAUUUAUUACUUAAAAUUUUUAUGUUAAAAAUACAAUUUAUCAAAUAAAUCACAAAAAUACAUAUACCCUAAAAUUCUAAUAUUCUGUUCUGCAACUUAUUUCUAUUAGACAAGCAUAUGACCUAUUUUAGUGUUAUAUUUUAAUCAUUUGAAUCUUGAAAUGCUUUGCAGGGCUACUCCAAGUAUGUUUGUGGCCUAGUUACUUAUCAUAGAUUUUAUUUCUGGUUUAUGAACUGUUAAGAGGCUUAUAGCCAAAUAUUAAGCGGCUAAGUCAUUUAGUUCACUGCUAAGUUUACAGGACUUCCCUGUCAUGUUGUUUAGCAAGAUGUUCUCCAUGAAGGAAGCAGCGCAUAGAUUGACGUUGUAGUUCAAGCUUCUUAUCUCUCCAUGCAUCUGCACUCUGAGUAGAACUAUCUGUGUUACCUUUGCCUUUUUCCACUCCACUUACUUCAGUAGUGGCGUACUUCCCUUUGACAACUUGCAAGAAACUUAACUUCUACAUAGACUUCAUUCCUUAUUCUUUCUAGUAGAUUUCUCCUUUUCAAUAAGCUUUGAUAUAUGGUCUAUAGAGUAAAGUUUAGAAUUUAAAAGCACCAUUUCUACUUAGGGGCUCAUAGCUCCUUUUCAUGUGGUAUGAUAAUGAGACUUUGAUUUUAUUCAGUAUGCCAUUCAUGUUAGCUUAGCCACUACAUUUCUCAUAAUUUAUUUUUGAAAUCCACUAUUGAUAUAAAGAAGUACUGCUGUAGUACCCUAAAAUGAUCUUGAAAGCUUAAAAUAAUUUGUCUGCAGUUAAAUAAAAAUAAGAGACAUAUGGACUAAAUGAGUCUUCAAUACACUUUUAUGUGUAUAAAAGCGUAGGAGCAUUCUCUUGAAUCAGGGUCCUGCCAAAGCUGAAUGCAUUAAGGAAAGCUUGAUUUGUAGCAUGUUUCCGAAUUUUUAUAUUUAUUCUUGUCUUAAUGAAAAAGAAACCUGAUCUGUAAAACUACUAUAGGUAAUAUGCUUAAAUAAAUAUAUAUAUUAUGUGUGGAUAUAUAUAUAUAUACUUGAAGCAUUAGAUAAUAUGCACAGUAUUCCCUCUUUCAUUAUCAUAUUAUAACUGUAUAAAAGUACAAACACAUUAUACAUAUAUUAGAAAGUGCAUUUGUACAUUUAUUUACUUGCAUUCAAUUUUUUGUUAAGUAAAAGUAGUACAGACAUAACCUUGAAGUAUGUUCCUGUAUUAAAGUGUCAUUUGAAAAGUUCUACCAUAUAAUGGAUUGUUUGCAUCAUUUUCUAUAUCUGUAUUCUAGUAGGUGGAUGUUUUUACAGACAAAUUUCAAAAUUAGAAAAAGAUGAACAAAUCAGACUAUCUCAUUUCUAUAAAGUAAAGAAUUUGGGUUCUGUUGCUUUUAUUUUUGUAUUUUUACAAUUUAUUAUUAUUACUAUUAUUAUUUGCUUUUUAGGGCCUCACCCAGAGCAUAAGGAGGUUCCCAGGUUAGGGGUCCAAUUGGAGCUACAGCUGCUGGCCUACACCACAGCCACAGCAACACCGGAUCUGAGUAUGUCUGUGACCUACACCACAGCUCAUGUCAAUGCUGGAUCCUUAACCCACUGAGCAAGGCCAGGGAUCAAACCCACAACUUCACGGUUCCUAGUUGGAUUCAUUUCCACUGCAUCUCGAUGGGAACUCUUGCUUUUAUUUUACAUAAAUAUAGGACAGGGGAAUAAGUCAUUUCACUAAUUGAUUUUUUUAUCAAAUUCUCCAACUUAUUAUAGAAGAGAAUGAAUCCCAGUGUUAGACGGCUUGACUGUAGCAUCACUGUUUAUUGUGUACAUACUCACACACACAAACACACACACAUUCCAAUCAGUAAUCAUUCCCUAUCGUUGAGAACUUUUGUUCCUGUCUAAACAGUGGAUGCUAACACAAUGAUUUUUUUAUGGUUUAGAAGCUUGUAUUCCCAUUUACCCACAUAUAUUUACUUUUCUGUCAAGAACAGGCCCUAUUAUUUAGUAUAGCUUUUAAGAAAAUGGAGGCUAAGAAUUCCAAAAUGACAAUAAACUAUUUAAUUUUAGGUAAUUUUAUGACAUAUCUGGUUUUAACAUUUGUGGCUGCAAUAAAACAUAUGUUAGCUCCCUAAUAAAACCUGACUGAUGCUGUAUCUGUCACCUCUUUCUGCGUUGGGAAGUAGUGCACAAGUUGUUACCUAGAGAACAGUUGUUCCCGUCUCUUGUGCAGAUCCAUAUCACUCUCAAAUUUACAUUCCGAUAGAGAAGCAACAAAUGUUACUUAAAUCCCAUGAAGUGUGUUAAUUAUACCAAGCUUCAUGAAAUCAUAGGUGAGAGAGGCAAAAGGAAUUCUACAGCUGCAUCUUGGGUCUCUUGAGCUUCUCUUGUCAAAUCAAUGUCUUUGUCACUUAUGUGAUAACCUUAAAAUUGCUUUUUUCCCUUAAGUGGUAUUCCCCAAAUCUCAGUGAGAGGGAAAAGCUCACACAAAGCAGAUGUACUUCGGUGUUAUUUAUAUAAAUAACGUUAGUAUCUUUAGAGAUACAAGUCAAAAUUUAACUUGAAAGCUGGGUUGAACUAGUGUGUCUUACCAGUUUUACCUAAUUACAAAUAUUUUGUCUCAUUUUCUUUGUAUAGAGUCUGAAGGAUAGAUUAUGGGAAUUGGAAAUAACCUCAAAUCCUUUUCCAGUGAUUACAAAGGAAAGAAAUUCUUUGGAGCGUUGCCCCAUACACUCCCAUCAUUGGGCUUAAUAUGAAAGAAUUAGAGAAGGCCCCCUUCAUAUAUGCAUAGCACUGAAGUGUAGAAAUAUUUCAUGCCCAGUAUUUCUAGAUUAUAUAUAUUUAAAAACUGACAACUAUGUAUGAGUAGAGAGUAUUUAAUAUGAUUAUUAUUUCUUUCAUUUCAGAAAAAAAAGUGGAGAAAAGGCACUUAGUGAAGUGGAAUUUUUAAGCUGUACUAUUUCUUUUUUGUCGUUGUUUACACGGAUACACCCAGGAUACAGCAAUAUGGGAUUAAUAGUCUUGGGAUGAGUUUCCAGAAUUAGACAGUUGGCUUAGGUCUGAUUCCCUGCUCUAUUAUUUGCUACCUGUGAGAACUUGGGCAAAUUAAUAAACAUUUCUGUUUCUCAGACUCCUCACGUAUUAUUGAGAUGAUGAUAAUAAUUACCUCAUAUUAUUAUUAAGAGAAUUAAAACAUUAAUGGGUAAUAUGACCCAUCGACCAAGGCUUGGCACAUGGCAACCUCUACCAAAAUGUUAUCAAUUGCUACUAUAGGAAUCUUGAAGCAACAGUGGUCCCAUAUAUCAGGCAGUCAAAUGGAGGGCCUUCAAUGGAGAAUUCCUUACAGAGGAAAGCAUUUGUAUGCAAAAUAUUGAAUUUCAGUUCCCCACUAGGGGCCAUUCUCUAUCCUCAGAAAGCAGCAACUCUUAGAAAGUCACCCUGCAACUGGGAAAACCUCAACCCAUUGGAAAUCUGUAUCAUUUGUCAGACCCAUCUAGAGACAGAUCUAAUCCUUUUGGCUGAAAUAUAGCUUGUGGCAGUCUGCUGUCCUUAGUUUACCAAUAUUUGGAAGAUUGGUUUGGUUUGGCAAUCAAUGUAGUAGAGCCACCCAAGACCUUGAUGUGAUUGUGUUUCUCUGAAGCCCUAAUGUGGGUUACUGCAAAAGCAGAGAGUCUGUAAUUUCAUACAACUUGCCGAUUAACUGUCAUUGAGUUUAAUGUUCUAGAAGCCCAUCAUCUAUGCUUUUGAAGGAUUUUUUUGAAAUUUUAAUUGCUUGGAUUCAACUUUAAAAACCUCCAGUUUUUAUAUCUUCAUGCUAAAAUGAUCUUUUUUACAGUAAGAAAUCUAUGCACUUUAUAUUGUAUCCUCAUGGACUAGUCAGUUUCUUAACCCACUGAGCCACAGUGGAAACUCCCUGUAGUCCAUUCUAGAUGUCGCAAAUACUAAAACUAGGUUACUAUUCUAAUUUUGAAAUUGCAUGCAUAUAGUAUUAAUAAUUUUAAAUUUAUUAGUUCUAGAAGAUCUCAACACAGGAAGCUACAGUUAACAUCUUAAAGAAUAAAGUGAAUUAGAAUAAAGCGAUAAUUAAAUGACAAAUUCUUUUCUAAUAAUUUCCCUAGAACUUUCCAUUAUCUGUAGAAAAGAAACCUGAAUUUUAAAAGAGAUUUUUUUAAUCACAAUAACUCAAUUCCAAUGACAUUUUAUUAUGGAUACAUUUAAAUCAUAUAAUUUGAAUAAUUUAAAUCAAAACAAUUUAUUUUAUAAAAAGCUGGGACAUGUAUUUAUAAUGAGUGUGAGGAAGUAUCUUAAAAAUAUUUAAUAUUAGAGAACUUUCUUUUUUAAAUAAAAAUCUGAGUGUUAAAACAGAAGUUAGAAGGAAAAUAUAGGUUAUAAUCAACCAGAAUACUCCGAAUGAUCUUAAAUUGAAAAGAAACAGAAGAUAUGAUUCCCAAGAGGAAUGGAUAUAACUAGCUGUCUCUUAGAAACCAUCCACAGGUUCCACUUUCUGAUUAUGCUCCUUCUUUAUUUAUAUAAAUACAAAAUAUCUUGAUAGGAGUUCCUGUCAUGGCUCAGUGGUUAAUGAACCCAACUUGUAUCCAUGAGGAUACAGGUUCAAUCCCUGGCCAUGCUCAGGGGGUUAAGGAUCUGGCAUUGCCAUGAGCUUUGGUGUAGAUCACAGACAUGGCUUGGAUCUUGCAUUGCUGUGGCUGUGGCAUAGGCAAGCAGCUACAGCUCUGAUUUGACCCCUAGCCUGGGAACCUCCAUAUCCCUCAGGUGCAGCCUUAAAAAUACAAAAGGAAAAAAAAAAGAAGUCUUGAUAAAUUCCUAAACACAAAUUUGCCAAUAAGAAGUUACAUGAUUUGCAUAGCAUUUAGGCCAACAAUUCAUUCAUUCAAUAUUUAUUGAAAACUCUUAUACAGACAUGUUCUGUUAGUAUUUAAAAAUAGAAAGCCAUACAUAAGAUAGGCUAAAUGAAGUCACAGAUCACCAGAACACAGGACAGAAAGUCACACAAACAGAUGUGGCAUACGACACAAUGGCUACUCAAGAGCUAAGAGAAAACAGCAUACUAGUAAAUACAAAAAACAAAGGUACUUACAGUCCUAAGAAAAGAGCUCAAGAAAGGUUUCCCUUAUAUGGUAUGAUUUGAAUUGCAUCUGAAAAUUGAAUAGGAAUUAUGUACCAAAGAGAAGCAAUGCAGGUAGAUGGGACAUUUGAAAGUAACCUAAGAAAAACAUUGAGACGGCUAUUAUUUUAAAUUUUACCUGCGUAGUUUUUGUAAGGAAUUAAGAUCAGUUUUAUUGUGAGCUCCCAUUGUGGUCCAGCAGGUUAUAGAACCUAUUAGUAUACAUGAGGAUGUGGGUCUGAUCCCUGGCCUCACUGAGUGGGUUCAAGAUCUGGCAUUGCUGUGAGAUGUGGUAUAGGUCAGAGAUGGAGCUCAAAUCCCAUGUCCCUGUGGCUGUGGGUGGCAGCUGCAGCUCUGAUUCAACCUCUAGACUGGGAACUUCCAUAUAUCACAGGUGUGGCCCUAAGAAGAAAAAAAAAAAAAAAAAAAAAAAAAAG
This 6409-nucleotide long non-coding RNA is filed under the name Sus scrofa (pig). RNAcentral describes it as "lncRNA (ENSSSCG00060069964.1)". The record is from RNAcentral. Lineage: Eukaryota; Metazoa; Chordata; Mammalia; Artiodactyla; Suidae.